AAUCAACGCUGGCGGCGUGCCUCAGACAUGCAAGUCGAACGAUUAAAGCUCUCUUCGGAGAGUGCAUAAAGUGGCGCACGGGUGAGUAACACGUAAGUAAUCUACCUUCGAGUGGGGAAUAACGUCCGGAAACGGACGCUAAUACCGCAUAAUGCAGCGGCAUCGCAAGAUGACAGUUGUUAAAGAUUUAUCGCUUGAAGAGGAGCUUGCGGCAGAUUAGCUAGUUGGUAAGGUAAUGGCUUACCAAGGCUACGAUCUGUAACCGGUCUAAGAGGACGGUCGGUCACACUGGCACUGAAUAACGGGUCAGACUCCUACGGGAGGCAGCAGUCGGGAAUUUUGGGCAAUGGGCGAAAGCCUGACCCAGCAACGCCGCGUGAAGGAUGAAGUAUUUCGGUAUGUAAACUUCGAAAGAAUGGGAAGAAUAAAUGACGGC
This 436-nucleotide ribosomal RNA is filed under the name uncultured bacterium. RNAcentral describes it as "bacterial SSU rRNA". It matches the Rfam family "Bacterial small subunit ribosomal RNA", at positions 32 to 476 of the family's 1533-position model. The record is from RNAcentral.